AAUACUAUGCUGCUAAGUGGCGCACGGGUGAGUAAUAUAUAGGUAACAUGCCCUUAAGAGGGGGAUAACAGAGGGAAACCUUUGCUAAUACCCCAUAACCCUUCUUGUCAUAAGAUGAGUUGGCAAAGUUUUUUCGCUUAAGGAUUGGCCUGUAUUGUAUCAGCUUGUUGGUGAGGUAACGGCUCACCAAGGCUAUGACGCAUAACUGGUCUGAGAGGAUGAUCAGUCACACUGGAACUGAGACACGGUCCAGACUCCUACGGGAGGCAGCAGUGGGGAAUAUUGCACAAUGGGGGAAACCCUGAUGCAGCAACGCCGCGUGGAGGAUGACACUUUUCGGAGCGUAAACUCCUUUUCUGUUAGAAGAUAAUGACGGUAUAACAGGAAUAAGCACCGGCUAACUCCGUGCCAGCAGCCGCGGUAAUACGGAGGGUGCAAGCGUUACUCGGAAUCACUGGGCGUAAAGAGCGUGUAGGCUGUUUAGCAAGUCAGAAGUGAAAUCCUAUAGCUCAACUAUAGAACUGCUUUUGAAACUGCUUAACUAGAGUGUGGGAGAGGCAGAUGGAAUUUCUGGUGUAGGGGUAAAAUCCGUAGAUAUCA
RNAcentral lists this ribosomal RNA (600 nucleotides) under uncultured bacterium. RNAcentral's name for it is "bacterial SSU rRNA". It matches the Rfam family "Bacterial small subunit ribosomal RNA", at positions 79 to 699 of the family's 1533-position model. The record is from RNAcentral.